GAUGAACGCUAGCGGCAGGCUUAAUACAUGCAAGUCAAGGGGCCAGCAAUGGCACCGGCGGACGGGUGAGUAACGCGUACACAACGUACCUUUAACUGGGGGAUAGCAUCUGGAAACGGGUGGUAAUACCGCAUGUGGUUGCGGGGAGGCAUCUCCUUGUAACUAAAACUUUGGUGGUUAGAGAUCGGUGUGCGUCUGAUUAGCUAGUUGGUAGGGUAGAGGCCUACCAAGGCGACGAUCAGUAGGGGGCGUGAGAGCGUGAACCCCCACACGGGUACUGAGACACGGACCCGACUCCUACGGGAGGCAGCAGUAAGGAAUAUUGGUCAACGGAGGGAACUCUGAACCAGCCAUGCCGCGUGAAGGAAGAAGGCGCUACGCGUUGUAAACUUCUUUUGGGUGGGACGAAAAUAAUCCAUUUAUGGAUAGCUGACGGUACCAUCAGAAUAAGCACCGGCUAACUCCGUG
This 468-nucleotide ribosomal RNA is filed under the name uncultured bacterium. Its description in RNAcentral is "bacterial SSU rRNA". It matches the Rfam family "Bacterial small subunit ribosomal RNA", at positions 28 to 507 of the family's 1533-position model. The record is from RNAcentral.